AGUGAACGUUGGCGGCGUGGAUUAGGCAUGCAAGUCGAGCGGGAGUAGCAAUACUCCAGCGGCGAAAGGGAGAGUAAUGCGUAGAUUACCUACCUCCAGGCCCGGGAUAGCCGUGGGAAACUGCGGGUAAUACCGGAUAAUGUCUCCGGACCAAAGGUGUGAUUCCGCCUGGAGACGGGUCUGCGUCCUAUCAGCUAGUUGGUGAGGUAACGGCUUACCAAGGCGACGACGGGUACGAGGCGUGAGAGCGUGUCCUCGCUCACUGGGACUGAGACACCGCCCAGACACCUACGGGUGGCUGCAGUCGAGAAUCUUCGUCAAUGGGCGCAAGCCUGAACGAGCGAUGCCGCGUGCGGGAUGAAGGCCUUCGGGUUGUAAACCGCUGUCAGAGGGGAUGAAAUGCCGGUGGGUUCUCCCAUCGGUUUGACAGAUCCUCAGAGGAAGUACGGGCUAAGUUCGUGCCAGCCGCCGCCGUAA
This 477-nucleotide ribosomal RNA is filed under the name uncultured bacterium. RNAcentral's name for it is "partial 16S ribosomal RNA". It matches the Rfam family "Bacterial small subunit ribosomal RNA", at positions 28 to 523 of the family's 1533-position model. The record is from RNAcentral.